AAUGAACGCCGGCGGCAGGCCUAACACAUGCAAGUCGAACGGAUCCUUCGGGAUUAGUGGCGGACGGGUGAGUAACGCGUGGGAACAUACCCAAAGGUACGGAAUAGCCUCGGGAAACUGGGAGUAAUACCGUAUGUGCUCGAAAGAGGAAAGAUUUAUCGCCUUUGGAUUGGCCCGCGUUGGAUUAGGUAGUUGGUGGGGUAAUGGCCUACCAAGCCGACGAUCCAUAGCUGGUUUGAGAGGAUGAUCAGCCACACUGGGACUGAGACACGGCCCAGACUCCUACGGGAGGCAGCAGUGGGGAAUCUUAGACAAUGGGGGAAACCCUGAUCUAGCCAUGCCGCGUGAUCGAUGAAGGCCUUAGGGUUGUAAAGAUCUUUCAGGUGGGAAGAUAAUGACUGUACCACCAGAAGAAGCCCCGGCUAACUCCGUGCCAGCCGCCGCGGUA
Molecule: ribosomal RNA, 448 nt
Filed under: uncultured bacterium
Lineage: Bacteria
Description: partial 16S ribosomal RNA
Rfam family: Bacterial small subunit ribosomal RNA
Source: RNAcentral